AACCUUAAACCCUAAACCAUAGAUCCCAAACUUUAAAAUCUAAAUCCUACUUUAGGCUUCCGGAAUCCAGUUGCGGUUCUAGUUCUUAUGCUCAAUGAUCCACAAAGCAUCUAGUCAUAUUUGACUACAAAUCCGGUAGCAAAGCUUCUUCUUUAUUCCCAAAGCUUUGAUGGUGAAGACAAAAUUCUUAUGAGUUUUUGGUGUUUUGAAUCGUUUAACAAGGAAGCACUACUUUACUUUUCGAGAUAUAGUUGAGGUUCUAGUUUUCUAUUCAAUCAUACACAUGAAAUGUAGUCAUAUUUCACUCCAAAAUGCUAACCCAGAUUCUACUUGCUUCUUAAAAUAUUAUAG
RNAcentral lists this small RNA (351 nucleotides) under Arabidopsis thaliana (thale cress). RNAcentral's name for it is "ATSL038240". The record is from RNAcentral. Lineage: Eukaryota; Viridiplantae; Streptophyta; Magnoliopsida; Brassicales; Brassicaceae.